Molecule: non-coding RNA, 117 nt
Filed under: Homo sapiens (human)
Lineage: Eukaryota; Metazoa; Chordata; Mammalia; Primates; Hominidae
Source: Rfam by way of RNAcentral
GCCGGGCAUGGUGGCUCACGCCUGUAAUCCCAGCACUUUGGGAGGCUGAGAUGGGUGGAUCACCUGAGGUCGGGAGUUCGAGACCAGCCUGGCCAACAUGGUGAAACCCCGUCUCUA